RNAcentral lists this ribosomal RNA (662 nucleotides) under Weissella hellenica. RNAcentral describes it as "bacterial SSU rRNA". It matches the Rfam family "Bacterial small subunit ribosomal RNA", at positions 90 to 739 of the family's 1533-position model. Lineage: Bacteria; Bacillati; Bacillota; Bacilli; Lactobacillales; Lactobacillaceae. The record is from RNAcentral.
AAAGAGUGGCGAACGGGUGAGUAACACGUGGGUAACCUACCUCUUAGCAGGGGAUAACAUUUGGAAACAAGUGCUAAUACCGUAUAAUACCAACAACCGCAUGGUUGUUGGUUGAAAGAUGGUUCUGCUAUCACUAAGAGAUGGACCCGCGGUGCAUUAGCUAGUUGGUAAGGUAAUGGCUUACCAAGGCAAUGAUGCAUAGCCGAGUUGAGAGACUGAUCGGCCACAAUGGGACUGAGACACGGCCCAUACUCCUACGGGAGGCAGCAGUAGGGAAUCUUCCACAAUGGGCGCAAGCCUGAUGGAGCAACGCCGCGUGUGUGAUGAAGGGUUUCGGCUCGUAAAACACUGUUAUAAGAGAAGAACGGCACUGAGAGUAACUGUUCAGUGUGUGACGGUAUCUUACCAGAAAGGAACGGCUAAAUACGUGCCAGCAGCCGCGGUAAUACGUAUGUUCCAAGCGUUAUCCGGAUUUAUUGGGCGUAAAGCGAGCGCAGACGGUUAUUUAAGUCUGAAGUGAAAGCCCUCAGCUCAACUGAGGAAUUGCUUUGGAAACUGGAUGACUUGAGUGCAGUAGAGGAAAGUGGAACUCCAUGUGUAGCGGUGAAAUGCGUAGAUAUAUGGAAGAACACCAGUGGCGAAGGCGGCUUUCUGGACUGUAA